GAUCAUGGCUCAGGACGAACGCUGGCGGCGCGCUUAACACAUGCAAGUCGAACGAGAAUCUACAGAUCGAGGAUUCGUCCAAGAGAAGUAGAGGACAGUGGCGGACGGGUGAGUAACGUGUGAGGAACCUGCCUUUCAGAGGGGGACAACAGUUGGAAACGACUGCUAAUACCGCAUGACACAUUGGGGUCGCAUGGCCUUGAUGUCAAAGAUUUAUCGCUGAGAGAUGG
Molecule: ribosomal RNA, 230 nt
Filed under: uncultured bacterium
Lineage: Bacteria
Description: partial 16S ribosomal RNA
Rfam family: Bacterial small subunit ribosomal RNA
Source: RNAcentral